Molecule: long non-coding RNA, 7915 nt
Organism: Culex pipiens pallens (northern house mosquito)
Lineage: Eukaryota; Metazoa; Arthropoda; Insecta; Diptera; Culicidae
Exons: 3
Source: RefSeq, a predicted model, not a curated record
AGAUCACAAUCACAAACAACAAUAAAAAUCACAAUUAAAAUCACUGCUAAACAACAAAAUUACUCGGAAACAUUUCUCCUGCGGAGCAAUUUUUCUGGCCGUUGACAAAAAAAGCAAAGUUUUGCUUUGAAUGUUUCUAUCUGUCAAAACGGUCAAAACUGCUUGAAAAAACCAAAACAAAUACCGAGUUGCCAAACAUGACCAAAAACUGCUCGACGGCAAGGUUGCAAGAUAAAUUUUCCUGGUUCAAAAGUCGAGCAGAAACUGGUCGCUUUAACUCGCUUUCGCGCGUUAACUUGCGAUAACUUGCUUUAAGGUGGCGUUAUGUGAAAACUCGGCACGAUGAGUAGCGUUGAUGCUUUUCGAGCCAGUUUUUGUGCGUUUUAGUGUGUUAUCGCGGAGUGACAUUCCCCUCGGGUGUAGUAGUUGGAGCAGAUUAGUGAUAUGGGAGAAGGAUUGUUGAAAGUGUUUCAAUAAUGGGGGAGGAUGUACGACGAGAUUUGUGUUAACACCUUUUGUGUAACAAGCCUUGAUUCCUGUUUGUGUGUUCACCUAUAUGUUUCUAUUGUCUUGGAUUAAACGUCAAGUUGUUGACCAGCAAACGAAGCGGAAAGACGUGCGUUUUAUCUCUUCCGCCGAAUUCAACUCCGUGAAAAUACAGUCCACUGAGAAAACGUGAUUUAUCGAGGAACAGUGACUACGGCAAUAGCGACAGCGAUGGCGGCGGUGGACACCCGGAUGGGCAGCAACUCCUGCAGCGGGAGCUGUCUUCCCAGGAUCAAUUGCCACCCCAGGAGUUUCCGGGAAAUGGUGGUGGAAGCCUUCCCGUCGGCGAGCCUGAUGAUGAUCACUUUUACGAUAGCCAUCGGGCGGUUCAAGAGAUUUUCGUGACAACCGUCAGCCGGAGAACGACAUCUGGCAGGAUCCCCCGGCCAACGAGGGUUGAGGUGACGGUGGAUACAGAGGCCGAUGCGAGUAGGCGAUGGUCGGGAACGUUCCAAACGGAAACGAAAAUAAUUUUAAGCUGGUGAACUGCGACGUGUCGACAUCAGUCCAGAAGAACGCCAUUCCGAUUGUCAUGAGCGGAUGCGAUGUGGUGGCCUGCGCCGGCUAGUUCCGGAAAGACUGUGGCGUUUCUGGUUCCGAUACUAAAUAAAUUGUACAGGCAUGGCGUCACUCCACCGACCCAGAAUCGUUCCUUCAGUAGCCGCAAGUAGUCCCACUGAGAUUUGUGCUGACUCCGACCAGAUGCGUGAGUUGAACCGUGGUUGCAACCUGGACAACCUUCGCUUCCCCGUGCAAGACAAGGUCGAUAGCAUGCUGUGAAAUUGUGGAAAAAAUAUAUACAAAUUUUCUUUGAAAUAUAUGCUUAUGUCUAAAAUAACUUGUAUUUAUUAAUUACAAAUAAAAAAUAAUAAUAAAUCAAUUGUUGUAUGAGGAAGGUGUGACCGUGUCCAGCUGCGUCAGCUAAAUCCCCUGCAGCCACUGCUUGUCCCGUUCGCUCAUCAGAUUCGCGUACGCGUCGUACUGCCCGGAGCGAUCCACCUUGCCACGAUGGUGCUGCAUCUGUUGCUGAUUCUUUUGACAAUUUUGCGGCGUUUGUGCUGCUGCUACGAUUCUGACCCUGCUGCUGACGAAUGAUUUUGCUGAACUUUCUGAACCAGCCGCUGGUCAGAACCUGGGAGGUUCGGCGAUAGCACAUUCGUUGGAAUUGGAGACUGAACGUUCACCUGGAGCAGGUGCACAAGGGAACCAUGUACAACGGCGGAAAAAAAAUCACUGGGUCGUCAACGGCGGCUGUUUCAUAAUGCAGGGAAAUACAGGUAGCGGACAAGGUAGUCCUUUACCUGAAGAUAAAAUGGCGGUAAGGUAACUGCUGGGGAACCUACGGAGGCGGAUGCAUUGAUUGCUGCGCCUUCUGUUCGUACAAACAUCCUCUCCUUUCUUGGCUCUCCGCCUAUCCUCUGAUGGUGCUGCUGUGCAUCACCGGAUGCUGCGGUCCGGCGUGCUCGGCAUCAUCCACACGCUCAGGUCCAGCUGCAACCUAGCGCCGAUCCACAGCGCACCUCGAAUUCAAAUUCAAAUUUCCCGUAAAAACUAAACGAUGCAUUCAUUUCCCAAAACUAAAUCAAAACACAAACACUUGACAGUUUUGCGAGCGAAAGUGACACGAGGCAAAUCAAUGUUUUCAAAGCAGGUGUGGUGCUGUCAAAUAUGAAAUAACGUGAGGAAUUUAAUUCCUUAAUGUAUUAAAUGCGAAAAAUUAAUAUAUUAAGGCCAAUGUCAUGCCCCUCGCAUCCCGCCAUACGUCGCAUCAAGAGGAUGACUCAGUGAGAAUCAAAAGAGAAGAGUAGAAGUGAAGUGAAGGAAAACGACUGGAAAAAAUGUACCAGUUCGUAAAUAAGGAACCACAGUUCCAACAAAUUUUAUUAAAAAGAGUUCUUGAUCUAAAAACAAGACUCAAUUAUUCUAUAGAAGAUGGAAAUAUGUCCUCUUCUCUUAUAAAAGACCUGAGUGCCCUGUUAAAAUGGAGUGCAAAAAUUGGCCUCCUUGGGGAGUCAGAUGUCAAAAACGUUCAAUAUAAUUUGAACAUAGUACGAAAAUGUACUAAUCAAACAAUCAACGAAUCAACAUCAAGUGAAUUGAUGGAUAUAAGGAUAAAGAAUCAGCAGAAGGCAAGAAGUUAACUACCGGGUUUGAUGUUUGAAAACAGUCCAAAGUGUUUUAUUGAAAUGACAAUUCAGAAUAAAUCAACACAAAUGGACAACAUACAAAUAAACAAUAUUCAAGAAGAAUCGCCAAGCAACGUUAUCUUAAUUGAAGAACGUAAAAAGUUCACCAGUUCGAAAAACAAAUUUACAAAAAGGAUAAGAAACAUAUUUCAACGUCAACAUCGCAUCAUACGGAGCAACAAUCCAGCAAACAACACGCCAACAAAAAGUUCUAUCGGAACAAAGCGAAGCCAACAAAAACCAAGGGAACAACAAGUUAUCUAGAAAUCAACGGAACUUCAAGUCAACGAAUUGCAUGUCAUCGAAUAGGUAUGUGUUAACAUAUAAAGUUAAGUUCGUAGACACAAAUUCCAAAAUUUUGUCAAAUCAAAGCCUUUUUUACGAUAUGGGUAAAAAGUUGUCAAUUGAUAUUUGAUAAUGGAAAUACAAAUCAACACCACAUAAAUAUGUUUUACCAUGUAAGGCCAAUUUCAAAAUUAUAAAUUGCAAAACCGCUUUUACGAUCGGGGUAAAAACACAUCCAUAUAACAAGUAAAAACAUCGUAGGUUACAGAUCAGUGAUUUAGACCGAUUCAGAUCAAAAUGGCAAGACUUCUGUUAACUAUAUUAACAAAAUAUUUUGCAAAAUUUUUGAAGUAAAAUUGCUCACUCCAUAUCUUAACAUCGUGGAAUACGCUUUUAAGAAGCUGUUAUCGAAUGUCAAAGACACAUGUUUUUCAAAUGAUUUUCAUGGAAUAACGACAAUAAAACAAAAUAAAACUGGAGAGACAGUUAUUGAUCGGUACUAAAUUGCUUGAUAACUGAAAUUCAAAUAGAUAAAACAAUCUCCACCGUGAUCGCGCUCUUGGCGACACGACAGCAGCAGCGGACUUCAGCUGAGCUUACUGAAACGCUUCUUCCUCGGGCCUCUUCUGCGCGUGCAGCAAGAAACACUUCUGAUCGGGUAGUCGCACUUGCUUGUAAGCGAGACACUUUUUUCUUCUCGGGAAUUUUACUACGCUUGCAGCAAAACAGCUCCUGUCGGGGUGUUACACUAGCUCGUAAGAGCAACACUUUUUCAGCUCGGGAAGCCUCGUCGCAGCCACACCUUCCGAAACCUUCCUACUGACGCUUGCAGCAGGCCCUUUCCGUCGGUGCUGUGGCCUCGACGCAGCUGGAUUCUGGGACCGUCCCGCUGACGCUUGCAGCAGGCCACGUUCCACUUUUUCUUCUUCUUCUGUGUGCAGCUGGAGCGACCGCCAAAUGCGCAGCGGUACUGUGAAUUGGAAUUUAUCACUCUUGGAAACACAAAAUGGCGUCGCUUCGCGCACUACACACAGGCACAGAUUCACACAGACAUCUUCACGUUUUGCGGACUCUUGCCGCCACUUUUUCCGCCGUUCUUAGGCCACGGAGUCGCCUUCCGGAAAGCCCUAGAACUGUCACUUUUCCGGAUCCCGAUAACGCACUCUUCUUCCACGGCAAGAUGGCGGCGCGUGCCGUUUUCUCGCCGAGCGCACACUCUUCAAAUCUUCUGCCGGUGGCCAGGGGGCCACUUCCGGUUCACUUUCUUUCGCUCGACGCGGUCCGCUGACCUUCCGUCAGCGUCUUCCGAUCCGUCGUUCUGCAGGACACAGACACACGGCACAUUUUCACGCGGAGCACUCGAGACGAUCGCGGGAUGGAGCAAGCUCCGGAGGAACGCGGGAAGUUCAAGCCCGUUACGACUCUGAACUUUUCUUCUUUGAUUUUUUUUUUCAAGAUGGCGACCAUCAAAAUGAGUUAAUGAUGAUGAUCUUUUAGCUAAUUAAAUUCCCUACAAAACGCUUCUAACAGAUCUGAAAAAUUCUUUUCCUACGCGGAGAUAUCGCCUUGCAACCAUUUGUACUAACUGACAUUUUCGAACGCAUCAUGGAUGUGCUCUCUUAUUUUUCAUCAUGCCCAGAUCGAAAGUCCGUAGACCCACGAUGUUUUGUAAGGCAACGAUGUUUUUCGAAAAUUUCGAUGAACUGUAGGCUGCUCGGUAGAGUAAAAGAGAAGGCAUGAUUUUGAUUUUCAUCGAAGUUUUGCAAAGCAUGCUCUCUCGCUCUUUCGUGAUUGCGAAAAUUUUGAAGAACUGUCAAACUGCCAAACAACCAUCUUGCUUUUGAACAUUUUUUUUUUUUUCAAGUCGGGAAAUUUCGGAAGAAUUUCAGCUUUACGGUGAGUAAAUUCUUGUAUUUCUGAGUAAAUUUGAUUAAUUUAAAGUUCUCCUUAUUAAAGCCGUGCCGAUCUGCUGCUAAACAAAAACAAGUCCGUACCUGAAUCGCCCACCGGAACCUGCCGGCAAGUGGUGACCCUCGAAAGGACAAGCUUUACCAGAGAUGCCAGCUGAGCUCAGGAAAAUGGGCCACGGUGUUCAAAUGGUAAUUAGCUCAGAACGCUCGAGUUUUAAAUUUUUAUUAAAAAUCAUUUCUUCCAGAAUUUCAACUCCAAAGAUGCUCCCGGAACCUGGUCAAGAUCAUUUGCCCAUUAGCCCUGGUCAGUUCUCCCAGCAUGAAUCAUGCAAAUCUCCGGAAGGACAUACGGGACAUUCACUAGGAGGAAAAGCUGGGAACACUGCGGGAAAGUCUAUCAGCAAGAACCUGCCGGCUUUUUGGUGCGGAAAAUCUGCAGAUUCGUCGACAAUACUGCCAGGCAGAUAAGAAGGUUCAAGUUCGACGGCUAUUUCCGGUCUUAGCAAAAUGAGAUCAAGGAGUACAUAAACUGCACCUUGCCACUGUUCCGGAAACAACCAGUCGAAAUGCAGGAACUGGUCCAGCGAGGAGUUGGUUUCCGUCUCGUCCCGACGACGUGAAGGAACCGAUAAACGAUAGCCAAUAACCUCCCCGCCCGUUGACCACAAGAGCGAAAUAACCAUGAUUUUUGCAAGUUUUUCAGAUUUUUGGUAAUUUCGUUAUAGUAACUGUUGAUUUUUUUUAUAUAGAUUCUUUACAGUUGUAGACGUCUGGUUGAUCAGACCGAUAAUAGCUUGCAAAACGGGCGUGCACUUGAACCUGCCCUGGAAACGACAAUUUGGACGUCGCAAGCGUUGGCAUACGCAAUACGAAUGCGUCCAGGUUCGGUUGACGAAGACCGAUUCACGUACUUGUCCAUAACAAGCGGUCCAACGCGGAUAGUUCAGAACCACCAUACUUCAGAACCACUUCAACGGAAACAACGGGGGACCCGCAUAAACGAGAACCUUUUUUUUUUUUCUGUUUGAGUAUUAAGACACGGAAUCCUUAUUACGAGGACUAUUGUAUCGUGUUACCCAUUUUUACUGUUAUUAAGCAUUUCCAGAUCUAUAACACAGUCCCUAUUGAGAGGGAAAGUGCUGUUCCAUCCAGAUGCUGUAAACUCCUUUCCUUGUGCCUUGUGCGCUAUGUAUCGCUAGAACCGCGGUGACAAUUUUUUCGUGUCAUUUUUCAAGCUCUUCCCAGCAGCUAUUAUUUGCCGCGCGGGGUCUUGUAAAGACAAUUGUCUUUUUGCGGUGCUAUUUUUGCGGUGUUCCCUUUGCUCUGAUCUGGACAAUGCGACUGGACUGCAGUGCAAUACCGAUCGGCUGGGCAUUAUUUACAUGCGAAGACACGAGGAAAGUAUUUUGGGAAAGAGGCGCAAAGGAAUAUCCCAAGAUCGAUCACAUGCUUGAAGAGCACGUGAAGCAACCGUUUUAUACUCAUACGGUUGCUGCUACCUCUGAACUUAAACCUAAUGCUGCCACCCUGAGAAGAACCCAUGACUUUCCGCUUAUGAGGCGAAAACCCGUAACCAUUCGGCCACAGGAGGUUGGCAACGAGAACCUUAAAAAAACUUUUUGUUAAAUGGUUUACUCACCAUUUCAGAGAUCGUAACCACUAUUUGAAAAAUGGUAGGAAAACCUUUAAAAUACCAUAUCGGAAAUGGUACCCUACCAUUUUUCAUAAAGUUCGACCAUCUGAGAUGAGGGUGGUUAGCAACGGUAACCUUAAAAAUCUCCGAACAACGUUUCGUCAGAUUACCAUUUGUGUAAUGGUGAAAAUAAAGUUAAUUUUCGCGUGGAAGCGACCUUUUUCCUCCGGUUUUUACUGUUUCAGAAACGGUUUUUCAAUGGUAUUUUAAGGUUUUUUUUUUACAAUUUUUAACCUUGCUGCUACUGUUUUACAAAUGAUUCGUAAAUGGUUUUUUAGGGUUUUUCUUGCUAUUUUUACCGAGCGCUACUAUUUUAGAAAUAGUUUUCCCAUGGUUAUUUAAGGUUUAUUCUAUAAUUUUCUCCCAGUUCCACUAUUUGAGAAAUAUUUCAAAUGGUUUUUAAUAGUUUUUCUAGCAUUUUUUACCUACCUAAUUAUUACAGAAUUGUUCACUUUUUGACGGAUAGUUCACAACAAUAAUAUUAAAACUUUUUUGGCUUUGAUUCUAGUUGAUUGCCGAUUCUGUUCGGUUGAUCAUACUGCCAAAGUCGUCCAAACCUGAAAAAAAGAAGAAAAAAAUCACAAAGUAUCGAGUAGAAUGUUAUUCAAAUAUGUAUACUUAUCUGAUGAUUCAAAUGAUUUCCUUGAUUAAUGCCAAUCGUGCGUUCGCUUCGAUUUUGUUUUGUCGGUCGGCUGCCGCCGAAUCCUCCAGCACCAGCUGUUCCGUUAUUUCAAGUUCUCCACGGCGCUGAAAUGAUCAACAAGAAAAAUGUAAACAAAGUAUCUGGUAAAUCAAAUGAUUUGUUUGAAAAUUAUAUUGUGAAUACAGACAAAAAUCAAAUUUCGAGCGCAUCUGCGAAGGCCACCACUUAUCACUCGCGAAACAAUUUAAUGGGAUCCCUUUUUUAAUGUAGAAUUUUUGUGCUGUCAUCUGUCACAAAAAAAAGCAGCCGCAACAAAAACAAACGUGAUUCUUGAAACAACAUUUGGAAUCUUUUUUUUUCAACAAAGGAAUAUACAGUGCCGAGGAACAGCAGGAGAUGGAGUACGACGAUUAUGAGGAGAAGGAAUACCUCCGAGAUCCCGUUGACAUAGAUUAUGAUCCGUUUGCAGACGAACGCGUCGAUACCGAAUCGACAGACUGCGGCAAAGACGGAAACGGAAGCGAAGAUGACCGAGGAAAGGAAGUUCAUGAAAAAGAAAAACCGUCGCAAAAUCGAUCCCAAUUCUUAAGUUCUGAAAAUCACCAGACCAGGCAUCAAGGACCUUUCAUUUGAACGCGUUUUUUGCCAGCGU